ACUCUAUUCUUUCUCUUGAAUUUACAAUGCAUUCAACUUUCCACUUGCAGUCGCUUGAUGUUUAUAAGGCUGUAUGGAAUCUGUUGAAGGUGAGCCUGUUUCUGGUGCCUGCUUUUAGAAAUUAGCAUUUCACUCUUGAAAUGUGUUUUUCUGGUAUUGAUGGUGAGCUUGUUAAUGCUUAUGUUAUCUUUGCAGGACCCAACUGAGCAAACUGGCAUUGAUAACUUCAUGGUACAACAUCUUGAUGGAACAAUUAAUGAAUAGGGCUGGUGCAAGCAGAAGCUUGGUGCUAAUGAUAUAUUGGCACUAUCACUUGCUGUCUGUAAAGCAUGUGCUAGCGUGAAAAAGAUCCCUCUUUACCAGAUGGAUGUGGAGAGUACAGUGGGGGGAGAAGCGUUUUUCUCGGAUAGCGCCAACAAUUCCUACUAUCACUGAUGUAGUUACCAGUACUCAUCUGUUUGAUGUACUUACAGAUUCAACUGGAGGUCGGCUUUCUUUCUUUGUAUAUGAGAAGUACCUUGAUA
This is a long non-coding RNA of Magnolia sinica, 524 nucleotides long. RefSeq lists it as uncharacterized. The record is from RefSeq and is a predicted model, not a curated record. Lineage: Eukaryota; Viridiplantae; Streptophyta; Magnoliopsida; Magnoliales; Magnoliaceae. The transcript is spliced from 3 exons.